GGUACGUCGGGGAGAGCGGCGGCGGUGAGGAAGAGGGUGCGAGAGUUGAUGGGAGUUACGGGGGGUGAAGCGGGUGUAGGGGGUCAGGUAAGUUGGAUGUGAGAGCCCGGGGCUCGACGCCGGAAGGGCAUUCAAAGCGGCUUGGCUUGAGGAUCGGAGAGGUUGGUGGAAUUCUCGGUGGAGAGGUGAAAUUCGUAGAUAUCGAGAGGAACACCGGUGGCGAAGGCGGCCAACUGGACGAAUACUGACGCUGAGACACGAAAGCGUGGGGAGCAAACAGGAUUAGAUACCCGUGUAGUC
Molecule: ribosomal RNA, 300 nt
Filed under: uncultured Pyrobaculum sp.
Lineage: Archaea; Thermoproteati; Thermoproteota; Thermoprotei; Thermoproteales; Thermoproteaceae
Description: bacterial SSU rRNA
Rfam family: Bacterial small subunit ribosomal RNA (bases 52-300)
Source: RNAcentral